RNAcentral lists this long non-coding RNA (269 nucleotides) under Rattus norvegicus (Norway rat). Its description in RNAcentral is "long non-coding RNA NONRATT031990". Lineage: Eukaryota; Metazoa; Chordata; Mammalia; Rodentia; Muridae. The record is from RNAcentral.
GGGCUAUAUUUAAUUCUCAUGUUAUCGCCAAGAUGCGUUGUUUUUAUCCACACAGGGCAGGCUGCACAUGUGCCUCCUUCCACUGCCCACUCAGUGUCUGGAGGAUGCCUACUCAAGAUCCCCAGCUCUCUGGGAACUGUCAUCUAUUCCGCUGUUGAAUAGCCGCCAUCUCUACCCAGCUAUGGUAGGAGAUAACCGUACCUCUAGUCCAGACUAUGCAACCGCAUGGUCAGCAUACACAUGGACACCCACAGAGGCCUCCCUCUCAG